GCAUAUCAAUAAGCGGAGGAAAAGAAACCAACAGGGAUUGCCUCAGUAACGGCGAAGUGAAGCGGCAAGAGCUCAAAUUUGAAAGCUGGCCCCCUCGGGGUCCGCAUUGUAAUUUGCAGAGGAUGCUUCGGGAGUGGCCCCCAUCUAAGUGCUCUGGAACGGGCCGUCAUAGAGGGUGAGAAUCCCGUAUGGGAUGGGGUGUCCGCGACCAUGUGAAGCUCCUUCGACGAGUCGAGUUGUUUGGGAAUGCAGCUCUAAAUGGGUGGUAAAUUUCAUCUAAAGCUAAAUAUUGGCCGGAGACCGAUAGCGCACAAGUAGAGUGAUCGAAAGAUGAAAAGCACUUUGAAAAGAGAGUUAAAAAGCACGUGAAAUUGUUGAAAGGGAAGCGCUUGCGACCAGACUCGCCUACGGGGUUCAGCCGGUAUUCGUACCGGUGUACUUCCCCGUGGGCGGGCCAGCGUCGGUUUGGGCGGCCGGUCAAAGGCCCUCGGAAUGUAACGCCUCUCGGGGCGUCUUAUAGCCGAGGGUGCCAUGCGGCCAGCCCGGACCGAGGAACGCGCUUCGGCACGGACGCUGGCAUAAUGGUCGUAAGCGACCCGUCUUGAAACACGGACC
RNAcentral lists this ribosomal RNA (615 nucleotides) under Penicillium sp. JCM 28387. RNAcentral describes it as "eukaryotic LSU rRNA". It matches the Rfam family "Eukaryotic large subunit ribosomal RNA", at positions 38 to 667 of the family's 3401-position model. The record is from RNAcentral. Lineage: Eukaryota; Fungi; Ascomycota; Eurotiomycetes; Eurotiales; Aspergillaceae.